UGAGGGAAUAUUUGGGGUCAAUGGGCGGAAGCCUGAACCAGCCAAGUCGCGUGAGGGAAGACGGCCCUAAGGGUUGUAAACCUCUUUUGCCGGGGAGCAAAAGCGCCGUGCGCGGUGCUAUGAGAGUACCCGGAGAAAAAGCAUCGGCUAACUCCGUGCCAGCAGCCGCGGUAAUACGGAGGAUGCGAGCGUUAUCCGGAUUUAUUGGGUUUAAAGGGUGCGUAGGCGGACAGUUAAGUCAGCGGUCAAAACGGGCGGCUCAACCGCCUGCCGCCGUUGAAACUGGCAGUCUAGAGUGGGCGAGAAGUACGCGGAAUGCGCGGUGUAGCGGUGAAAUGCAUAGAUAUUGCGCA
Molecule: ribosomal RNA, 353 nt
Filed under: uncultured Barnesiella sp.
Lineage: Bacteria; Pseudomonadati; Bacteroidota; Bacteroidia; Bacteroidales; Barnesiellaceae
Description: bacterial SSU rRNA
Rfam family: Bacterial small subunit ribosomal RNA
Source: RNAcentral